Molecule: ribosomal RNA, 986 nt
Filed under: uncultured rumen bacterium
Lineage: Bacteria
Description: bacterial SSU rRNA
Rfam family: Bacterial small subunit ribosomal RNA
Source: RNAcentral
AGAGUUUGAUCCUGGCUCAGGACGAACGCUGGCGGCGUGCUUAACACAUGCAAGUCGAACGGGCACUUCGGUGCUAGUGGCGAACGGGUGAGUAAAGCGCAGGUAAUCUGCCGCAAAGACGGGGACAACGUUCCGAAAGGGGCGCUAAUACCGGAUGUUGUGUAGAGUUCGCAUGAACUUUACACUAAAGAUUUAUCGCUUUGCGAGGAGCCUGCGUCCGAUUAGGUAGUUGGUGGGGUAAGAGCCUACCAAGCCGACGAUCGGUAGCCGGUCUGAGAGGAUGAACGGCCACAAUGGAACUGAGACACGGUCCAUACUCCUACGGGAGGCAGCAGUGGGGAAUAUUCCACAAUGGGGGAAACCCUGAUGGAGCGACGCCGCGUGAGUGAUGAAGGGCUUCGGCUCGUAAAGCUCUUUUCCUGUUGACGAAUUAGCCUUAGGGGCAGUUGACGGUAGAGGGGGAAUAAGCCACGGCUAACUACGUGCCAGCAGCCGCGGUAAUACGUAGGUGGCAAGCGUUGUCCGGAAUUAUUGGGCGUAAAGGGAGCGCAGGCGGGAAUUCAAGUCCAAAUUAAAAGUUCGGGAGUAAUGUCCGUGAAGGUUUGGAAACUGGAUUUCUUGAGAGCAGGAGAGGCAAGCGGAAUUCCCGGUGUAGCGGUGAAAUGCGUAGAUAUCGGGAGGAACACCAGUGGCGAAGGCGGCUUGCUGGACUGUGUCUGACGCUGAGGCUCGAAAGCCGGGGUAGCGAACGGGAUUAGAUACCCCGGUAGUCCCGGCUGUAAACGAUGAGUGCUAGGUGUGGGAGGUAUCGACUCCUCCCGUGCCGGAGUAAACGCAAUAAGCACUCCGCCUGGGGAGUACGGUCGCAAGACUGAAACUCAAAGGAAUUGACGGGGGCCCGCACAAGCGGUGGAGUAUGUGGUUUAAUUCGACGCAACGCGAAGAACCUUACCAAGCCUUGACAUCUGAGGAAUCCGGAUGAAAGU